Small nuclear RNA from Phacochoerus africanus (Common warthog), 103 nucleotides. The record is from RefSeq and is a predicted model, not a curated record. NCBI's taxonomy places the organism in Eukaryota, Metazoa, Chordata, Mammalia, Artiodactyla, Suidae.
UUGCUUUGGCAGCACAGAUGCUAAAAUCGGAACAAUACAAAGAAGAUCAGCAUGGCCUCUGUGCAAGGAUGACAUGCAAAUUCGUGAAGCGUUUCAUAUUUUU